Molecule: long non-coding RNA, 1085 nt
Filed under: Setaria viridis
Lineage: Eukaryota; Viridiplantae; Streptophyta; Magnoliopsida; Poales; Poaceae
Description: long non-coding RNA (SVIR_LNC005648)
Source: RNAcentral
UAAUAUUAUCUAGUCUGAAACAUGCUAUGGUAUAUGAGCAUGGGAUACCAGUCAGUUGCCAUCCCCUGCAGUCACACCUUGACACAUUGAUAUCAACCACAUGCAUUUCAUCCCUAUCUUUCACUGAAAAGAUUCCUCCACCAGAAGGAUUUACAUCAACACAACUUGAAUAAUCAGCAUGUCUUUCUACCUUCUUCCAUACUUUGGGACAGAUUGUACCUUUCGACUUCUCAAUAGCCUCUUUUUUCUUUGUGUAGUACCUGUUCAUAAGCUGGCAUCUUAUUUUCUCAAACAUUGUGAGAAUGGGCAUAUCCACAAUAACACAAGUAACAAUUAGUGGACAGUAAUGGAAGAACCGAAUUGAAAAGAAUGGAAUUAAUCAUAUAUGACCUUUUGCUUGUCAAUCACAAUUGUAUAUGGCACAGUGUUGAGAUCAUUCUUGAAUGUGCUCAAGAACCAUUUCCAUGUGCUGGUCGACUCAACUUCACAAACUGGUCUUCUCUAGUCGACUGCUUCCAACACUAUACCCUCUCCCCAAAUCCCCUAAUCUCUUGCACUCUCACUCCAAAAUCCCUCAAAUCUAUUGCUCCUGUGAAAAGGUCACCAUCACAUCCCGACAACGCCGUUGUUGUGCUUGUGCCUCAUAGUAUUCCACCAUCAUUGCUCAGCUAGUUGCUCCAUUCACUACGCCUUCCCGUGCAUCAGUCUAAACUUGGUACACCACUCCGACUCCAAAAAAAACAUGUCCCCUAAUAGCAAUUUAAGUAAGCCCCCUAAACAACGCCUCCAAGCGGUUAUUGAGGCAUGAUGCCAAUAAACUAGGUACACCAUGGCCAUAUUAGAAACCCAAAAUAUGAAGGCUCAGCUCCCAAUGGAAAUUUCCCCAUAGCCACAACCCUGGAUGCUCUCUGAAUACUCUCCAUCCACGAGGUUUUAGCAUAGGAGUUAAAAUUCAUGAUCCUUCCUUGCGCAUGUCGGCCAUCCACCACUCUCGCCCUCCCUCCAAUUGCCCUCCCCGCACUAUCACCUCCAUACUCCCGCAUACGACCCAUCUGCUAUCCUCACUCCUCCCCCGCUCCUUUUUC